Molecule: unclassified non-coding RNA, 1715 nt
Filed under: Haliotis rubra (blacklip abalone)
Lineage: Eukaryota; Metazoa; Mollusca; Gastropoda; Lepetellida; Haliotidae
Description: dNA ligase 3-like, transcript variant X1
Source: RNAcentral
UUUUGAUUGGUCGACCUGAUGAAAUCAUUGACAGACAUGGUAUGUGAUAGACGUUUAAGACGAUUCACCGAUGCAGUAUUCUCAACGAACCAGGCCUGCUUGAGAUGAAGACUGAGUGAAUGAUCAGAAGACAAUCCAUGAUCCGUUUCAUCGUCUGAGUCACAGCAACCUUCACAGCAGAAUCCUGCCAUGUUGCUUGGACCAUGCAUCAGUUUUCAAUUUCAGAUUCAGCAGCAAUAAACCUGUACUGAAACCGUUCGUCUCAUUUCACCUAGACACAGAUGAAGUUUUGAUAUUCUGUUCUGACUUCACCAUGACUGAACUUGGUUUCAAUGUCAGCUAUGCAUUAUCUGCUCGAUCAAUUUGUCGACAUUGCCGCAAGUAUAUUGACAAGAAAGCAUUACGAAUAGGUCAGUCUAUUCCCAACCAUUAUGAUGAAGAUAAUCGGGGGUGGGAUAACUUGAUAUAUUAUUACCAUGCUGUGUGCAUGUUUAAGAAGUUCGACCAGGACAAACCAAAGGACAUGAAGAUCAAGUCUCCCGAUGAUAUCAGCUAUGGGUUCGAUAACUUAAAACAGGAAGAUAAGAAGACCAUUCUGGAACUCAUUAAUGAUGCUAAUGUGAAGUGGGACAACUUAUUCCGACAGUUCCGUUGUCUCUGUGCAAAGUUAUCUGACGAAGACACGGGUGCUGGCAAGACGGCCAUCGUGUCGGACUUCCUCAAGAAGGGAAAUGCCGGCACUGGCUUCAAGGGCGAUGUCUAUCUGUUGAUGAAGUUCUUGUUGCCUGGUGUUGUCAAGACCGUGUAUAACCUCAACGACAAAGACCUUAUCAAGUUAUUCAGUCAGAUAUUCGGUACAAAUCUUAAAGCAAUGGAAGAGGAUCUAGAGCAGGGUGAUGUGUCGGAAACAGUCAGGGUGUGUUUUGAUAAAAGCAAAACAGUGACACCAUUGAAGAAGAGUGCCCUUACCUUACAAGAGGCAGACGACCUCCUGACUUCUUUGUCUCAAGUCACCAAGGAGAGUGAACAAUGCAAGAUGCUCACAAAAAUUGUUGCAAGAUGUACCAGCAAUGAUCUGAUGAUGGUGGUUCGCUUCAUCACACAUGACCUUGGCAUCAACGCAAAGGCAAAAUAUAUUUUAAGAGGUCUUCACCCUGAUGCUUACGAAGCAUUCCAGGUCUCUCAAAACCUGAAGGACGUCGUGGAGAGGGUUCAGUCUAACACAUUACAUCACAUGCCAGGCAUGGAGAAGAAGAAGACUGACAAAAAGACUGGACACGAUCACAGUAAAAGUGAUGGCGCAAAGCAAGGCAGCAGUGGCAGUAGUGACAGCGUGGAUGUUGGCGUCUCCAAGAAGAAAACACCGGUCAAGAGACCGACAGAGGGAUGAAGGGCAGACAACUCCUUCCAAAAAGUGCAAGACAGCACCAUCAGCCUGCCCUUCCAUGUCCAACAUCUUCACAGACUGCAAGAUAUUCCUGCCUGUAACCACAGACAAGUUCCAGGAGCUCAAGCAGUAUAUAAUAGAUUUUGACGGGGAAGUUUUGGACGAGACCAGCAAGGGAUCAGCUACACAUAUUGUCUCUUCUAAAGGAAAGAUUAGAACCGGUAGUAGCAAGGCCAAGGUCGUGACCCCUGACUGGCUGUGGCAGUCAAUCAAAAAGAAACAGCUUGCAUCUACUGAGGAGUUCAAGCCCUGAACUUGACAUUCAGAC